Molecule: ribosomal RNA, 367 nt
Filed under: uncultured Nitratireductor sp.
Lineage: Bacteria; Pseudomonadati; Pseudomonadota; Alphaproteobacteria; Hyphomicrobiales; Phyllobacteriaceae
Description: bacterial SSU rRNA
Rfam family: Bacterial small subunit ribosomal RNA
Source: RNAcentral
GUGCCAGCAGCCGCGGUAAUACGAAGGGGCUAGCGUUGUUCGGAAUUACUGGGCGUAAAGCGCACGUAGGCGGACCAUUAAGUCAGGGGUGAAAUCCCGGGGCUCAACCCCGGAACUGCCUUUGAUACUGGUGGUCUCGAGUUCGAGAGAGGUGAGUGGAAUUCCGAGUGUAGAGGUGAAAUUCGUAGAUAUUCGGAGGAACACCAGUGGCGAAGGCGGCUCACUGGCUCGAUACUGACGCUGAGGUGCGAAAGCGUGGGAGCAAACAGGAUUAGAUACCCUGGUAGUCCACGCCGUAAACGAUGGAAGCUAGCCGUUGGCAGGUUUACCUGGUCGGUGGCGCGAGCUAACGCAUUAAGCCUUCCCG